GAACAAUGUAUAAACUAUGACCAACUCAGUGCAGAGGGUACACACUGCUGAGAUGGGCGAUUAAGGAAUGGCGAAGAGGGAUACCUUUAGCAUAUGCCUUUUGACCGUAGGCGACUCGGUCUUGAAGAGAUUAAUUUCUCAACAAUCGUUUAGUGCAAUAAUUGAAUAGGAAUAAGACAGUAAGUGAAAGGGCGAGACAAUAGACGCUCUCUGUGAGAGAAUAACCCUAGAUGGUCGGCUGAUGUGGUAGUCAGUGACGGACAAAGGGAAUACCAAUAACUCGUUUAGCAGUGAUGCUGGGUUUCCAGCUAUAACUUUUGCUUAUGUACCAGUAGCCGAAUCUGCUAUAGAUAAAGAAAAUAAUGGAGCAGAACUCCUUUUAAUUUAAAUUUUUCUGAAAGUCGGUGAAAGUUGUGGGUCACAGUCCCAUAUGGUUUUAGGUCAAUGCUUCGGUAUUGAUGGUAUAAGAAGCCUAGGAGUCGCUCUCCUUUGCUCAGACUUGUAUCACUAUUAGUCUAAUAAUUUGGUUCAAUUGUUUGUAAGGGGAAACCUUGGUCGUGAUUUAUAGUUCUU
This 573-nucleotide non-coding RNA is filed under the name unclassified sequences. Its description in RNAcentral is "ROOL RNA". It matches the Rfam family "ROOL RNA". From Rfam's summary of the family: Firmicutes, Fusobacteria (1 example), Tenericutes (1 example). Environment (Cow rumen (57)) The record is from Rfam by way of RNAcentral.